GAUGAACGCUGGCGGCGUGCUUAACACAUGCAAGUCGAACGAGAGAAGAUUGGUGCUUGCCCUGAUCCGAUCGAGUGGCGGACGGGUGAGUAACGCGUGGGUAACCUGCCUCAUUCAGGGGAAUAACAGUUGGAAACGGGUGCUAAAACCGCAUAAGCGCCCAGUAUCGCAUGAUACAGUGUGAAAAACUCCGGUGGUAUGAGAUGGACCCGCGUUUGAUUAGCUAGUUGGUGAGGUAACGGCCCCCCAAGGCAACGAUCAGUAGCCGGCCUGAGAGGGUGAACGGCCCCCUUGGGACUGAGACCCGGCCCCAACUCCUUCGGGAGGCAGCCGUGGGGAAUAUUGCCCAAUGGGGGAAACCCUGAUGCAGCGACGCCGCGUGAGUGAUGAAGUAUUUCGGUAUGUAAAGCUUUAUCAGCCGGGAAGAAAAUGACGGUAACUGGGUAAGAAGCCCCGGCUAACUACGUG
This 468-nucleotide ribosomal RNA is filed under the name uncultured bacterium. Its description in RNAcentral is "bacterial SSU rRNA". It matches the Rfam family "Bacterial small subunit ribosomal RNA", at positions 28 to 507 of the family's 1533-position model. The record is from RNAcentral.